UAAUCAUUUGUCUUUUAAUUGAAGACUUGUAUGAAAGGCUGAACGAGAAAAUAACUGUCUCUUUAAAAAAUUUUGAAUUUUACUUUUAAGUGAAAAGGCUUAAAUAAUUUUAAGGGACGAUAAGACCCUAUAAAUCUUUAUAUUAUUUUAUUUAUUUUUCAAAUCAUAUAUUAAAAGAAAAAAAAAGAAAAAAUAUUAUAUUGGGGAGAUAAAAAUAUAAUUUUUUUAACUGUUUUAAAUGCAAAACAAUAAUUUUUGUUUUAUUAAAAAUUGAUCCUUUUUAAAGAUUUUAAGAUUAAGUUACUUUAGGGAUAACAGCGUAAUUUUUUUUGAGAGUUCUUAUCGAAAAAAAAGUUUGCGACCUCGAUGUUGAAUUAAAAAUAUCCUUAUAANUGCANAANCUAUAANGGAAAGUC
Molecule: ribosomal RNA, 416 nt
Filed under: Aegla charon
Lineage: Eukaryota; Metazoa; Arthropoda; Malacostraca; Decapoda; Aeglidae
Description: partial large subunit ribosomal RNA
Source: RNAcentral